RNAcentral lists this ribosomal RNA (253 nucleotides) under uncultured bacterium. Its description in RNAcentral is "partial 16S ribosomal RNA". It matches the Rfam family "Bacterial small subunit ribosomal RNA", at positions 524 to 776 of the family's 1533-position model. The record is from RNAcentral.
UACGGAGGGUGCUAGCGUUGUUCGGAAUUACUGGGCGUAAAGGGCGCGUAGGCGGCCGUUUGCGUCGGAUGUGAAAGCCCGGGGCUCAACCUCGGAACGGCAUUCGAUACGGGACGGCUGGAGACCGGGAGAGGAGAGUGGAAUAGCCAGUGUAGAGGUGAAAUUCGUAGAUAUUGGCUGGAACACCGGUGGCGAAAGCGGCUCUCUGGCCCGGUUCUGACGCUGAGGCGCGAAAGCGCGGGGAGCAAACAGG